GAUGAACGCUAGCGGCAGGCCUAACACAUGCAAGUCGAACGGUAACAUGAGUAGCAAUACUUGAUGACGAGUGGCGCACGGGUGCGUAACGCGUAUGCAACUUACCUCUAACUGGAGAAUAGCCUUCCGAAAGGAAGAAUAAUACUCCAUAAUAUUACGAUGUGGCAUCACAUUGUUCUUAAAGCUUCGGCGGUUAGAGAUGGGCAUGCGUCUGAUUAGCUUGUUGGUGAGGUAACGGCUCACCAAGGCAACGAUCAGUAGGGGGCCUGAGAGGGUUAUCCCCCACACUGGUACUGAGACACGGACCAGACUCCUACGGGAGGCAGCAGUGAGGAAUAUUGGUCAAUGGACGAAAGUCUGAACCAGCCAUGCCGCGUGCAGGAUGAAUGCCCUAUGGGUUGUAAACUGCUUUUAUAUAGGAAUAAACCCCUUUACGUGUAAAGGGCUGAAGGUACUAUAAGAAUAAGGACCGGCUAACUCCGUGCCAGCA
Molecule: ribosomal RNA, 490 nt
Filed under: uncultured bacterium
Lineage: Bacteria
Description: bacterial SSU rRNA
Rfam family: Bacterial small subunit ribosomal RNA
Source: RNAcentral